AGCAUUCAGUUGGGCACUUUAAAGAGACUGCCGGUGUUAAGCCGGAGGAAGGUGGGGAUGACGUCAAGUCCUCAUGGCCUUUAUGCCCAGGGCUACACACGUGCUACAAUGGGUGGUACAAAGAGAUGCCAACUCGCGAGAGCGCGCCAAUCUCAGAAAGCCAUCCUCAGUUCGGAUUGGAGUCUGCAACUCGACUCCAUGAAGUUGGAAUCGCUAGUAAUCGCGGAUCAGCACGCCGCGGUGAAUACGUUCCCGGGCCUU
This 261-nucleotide ribosomal RNA is filed under the name uncultured Smithella sp. RNAcentral's name for it is "partial 16S ribosomal RNA". It matches the Rfam family "Bacterial small subunit ribosomal RNA", at positions 1120 to 1382 of the family's 1533-position model. The record is from RNAcentral. Lineage: Bacteria; Pseudomonadati; Thermodesulfobacteriota; Syntrophia; Syntrophales; Smithellaceae.